GACGAACGCUGGCGGCGUGCCUAAUACAUGCAAGUCGAGCGAUGAAGAUUGGUGCUUGCACCAAUUUGAAGAGCAGCGGACGGGUGAGUAACGCGUGGGGAAUCUGCCUUUGAGCGGGGGACAACAUUUGGAAACGAAUGCUAAUACCGCAUAACAACUUUAAACAUAAGUUUCAAGUUUGAAAGAUGCAAUUGCAUCACUCAAAGAUGAUCCCGCGUUGUAUUAGCUAGGUGGUGAGGUAAAGGCUCAACAAGGGGAAGAUACAUAGCCGACCUGAGAGGGGGGACGGGCAAAAUGGGAAUGGAAACAGGGCCAAACUCCUUAGGGGGGGAGCAAGAGGGGAACUUUGGGAAUGGGGGGAAGGCUGAACGAGGAACGCCGCGUGGGUGGAGAAGGGUUUCGGAUCGGAAAACUCUGUUGGUAGGGAAGAACGUUGGUGAGAGUGAAAAGCUCAUCAAGUGACGGUAACUACCCAGAAAGGGACGGCUAACUACGUG
Molecule: ribosomal RNA, 497 nt
Filed under: uncultured bacterium
Lineage: Bacteria
Description: partial 16S ribosomal RNA
Rfam family: Bacterial small subunit ribosomal RNA
Source: RNAcentral